ACGGCUCUCUCUUUCUCGUUCCUUCUUUCACGACAAAACAAGAGAAAAUCUCUCUUCUCUCCCAAUCGCUUGCUGUAAACAAGAAAACAACACAAGCUCUCACUCGGUUUGUCAUCUUUCUCUUGCUGAAUUCUCUCUCAAGCGGUUGAACAAACAACACCAACCGAAUCUCUCACUCUCGGUUUGCUCUCUCAUGGGUUCUCUCUUCAUUCAGCGAACCACAACAACUUAAGCUCUCACUCUGGUUUCUGCCUUGCUCUCAAUUGAACAACAACAACAUCAAAGCUCUCACUCUCGCGGUUCCCGCUUUCACUCGCGGUGCUCAACUCUCUUUUGCUGCGAACAACAACAACAAAGAAUCUCUCACGCUUGCUCACGGUUCUCUCGGUGAACAACAAACAGCGGCUUUCUCUUGGAACAACAACGCUGAACCAACCUCUCUCGGCUUCCCGGUGGCCAUGGACGAACAAGAGAUUAAAUGAUAAUUGGAAGGAAAUUCGAGUGAAUUGAAGCAGACGUUCAAAUCAGUGCAGCAUAAAGAACAGACUAGCAUCAAAAUUCCUAAGAGGAAGUAAGGAAUAAGAACCUGAUCGGAGCAAGUCCGAUGAACCAGUUCUGGCGUCGGCUUUUUGACAGGCUCUCUUUUGAUGAAGAUGAUGCAACAAAACCUCUUUGGAUUCGCGGGAACUUUGGAUAUUAAGGAGACUUGAAGUUCAACUUCAAGUGGUUGGAAGCUUGAAGAUGAAGAUCUUCAAGUAAGGUAUGAAGAACUACCUUUUCACUCUUUGUAACUAGAACACUCACAAUAUGAGCAAUAGAGAGAAGAGAGAAAGCAAGGACUCAAGUUGCUUUGGUGUGAUUUGCAAUGAAGUGAACACUUCUAUUUAUAGGAAAAGCUUAGGAUGUGUUUGGCAAUUGGUAAUCUUGAUUGGCAAGUUUCAAUCAUUGCAAGAUAAGAAAAAGAAUAUAUUCUUCAUCAUUGCAAGAAUAAAAAAUAAGAAUAAGAAUAUUCUUAUGCAAAGAUAUUUUUCAUGAUAUAAGCCAUGUGUGUAAAUUUUUAUGUCAUUUUAUGAUAUCUCUAAGUUGCAUAAUUUUAUGACAUAAAAAUCUCUCUUUGGCUUUCUUUGACUUUUGCUAAUUUCACCCCUCUUUUGUUUUCUUUUUCAUGUCACAUGAGAACUCUUGAAGAAAGAAUGAAGAAUCUUGAACUUGAAGAAUGAAGACUUUGAAGAUUGAAGAAUUCAAGAAUGUCUUUGAAGUUUUAUUUUUCUUUUCCUUGUAAUUCCAACUUUGUAUGAAUGAAACUUUGUAAUUCUUGAAUUUUAAAUAAAGUCCCUUCAUUUGUAAUUCAUUUGUUCCAUGUAAA
Molecule: long non-coding RNA, 1366 nt
Organism: Vicia villosa (hairy vetch)
Lineage: Eukaryota; Viridiplantae; Streptophyta; Magnoliopsida; Fabales; Fabaceae
Exons: 3
Source: RefSeq, a predicted model, not a curated record